Long non-coding RNA from Triticum dicoccoides, 1973 nucleotides. RefSeq lists it as uncharacterized. NCBI's taxonomy places the organism in Eukaryota, Viridiplantae, Streptophyta, Magnoliopsida, Poales, Poaceae. The record is from RefSeq and is a predicted model, not a curated record. The transcript has 4 exons.
CUAGCCUCAACCCACUCCCCGCGCGGCGGCACCAACCAAAGCCCCGUCGGCGCCGGCCUGCCCACAUCUGCACCGCCGCCUGCAUCCCGCCUAACGCCACCCCCAGCGAGCCACCACCCCUCCCUGUCCCGCACCCAAAACCCCAGCGACGCGCGCCGCCGCGGCGCCGCCCACCACCAGUAUCCCGCGCUGCCGUCGCCGACCACUAGGACCUCUCGCCGCCGCCCACCACCACCUGGAUGUCCCCCUCUGCGCACGGAUCCGGUCUUGCCCGAGCUCCCCCUGGGACGGAUGAACACAGGGCAGAGGCACCUGUGCUGGGAGGAGCAGAAUAGGGGCGCCGACACCAGGAAUAGCAAGUCGUGCCUCACCCGGCCACCUCCUCGCUUCUCCCUCCGCCGGAGCGUGCCGACGCCCCGUAUCCCACCGCCGGUGCCGCUCCUCAACUCUGGCGACGCCAAGAGCCUGCACCACCUUGGGUCUUUACCCACGCAGCCAGUGGCGGCUUCCUCUUCCUCCAGCCGCUCGCGCUCCUCCGUGGAGGACUCCCGUUGUCGCCUCUGUAACCCCUGCCUAAGCAUCCAUCGCACGUGACCUUCUCUGGCGUGUCUGAUCGACCUUCCCAUCGUCUCUUGCUUGAACGUCUGAAUUGCUGCUGCUCCUCCAUGUAAAUCUGCUGCUAGAUGAAGACCAUGUAAAUCUGAACGUUCUAAAUCUGCUGCACUACUAGGGUUGCUCUGUGUUGUGCCCUUUUGUUGGGUGAAGCUAUUCUUAUCUGCUAGCUUUGACAUAGGCUGGUACAUCAUUUGGAGCUUGGAAUCGAUUUCAUCAUCAGGUUAAAAAAAGAGUUUUUGGUGGCUCAGUUCAACAUAUUCACUUGCACUGGAAAUACAGGGGACUAGUGAUUUGUGGAAUUUGAGCUACAGAGAAUUGAGCCCCCACACACCGCCGCCCCAUCCACCAUCGCGACAAGCAUCCCUGGGAUUGCCACGACCUCGCACAUGCCAUGGGUGUGGCCCUAGAUGAGAUGCAGCUCCCCUUCGCCCGGCUCCAUCUCCCCACCGUUGUCAUGACACAUGAGUUCAGAUGUUAACUAGAAUGCUAGAGACGGAAUGCUAGAGACGGAUUUCUAGGAGCAACAAUAGGGGCACCGUUGGAUGGCAGCAGCGUUCAUGCAACCACAGCAGAGUGCCAGGGAGUUGCAAAAAUCCAGAUCCUGGGUACUCCAUGUGGCCCGUUGUAGUCCGGAUUGGGGUGCAGGCGCCGUCCAAGUCCCAAUUCCCCAAUGAUGACCCAACACCAUCUCAGUCCAGCACCGUAGCACCAGGGAGGUCGAGGCCAUCGCGAGCAGAAGUCCCCAGCAGAAGGGGAAACAAGAAUUACGACCCCUCCAUCCCAUGCGAGCAGUAUGAAAGACAGGGAAGUUCAUCCUGGCAGACUAUGUAGCUCAGUGUGUAUGUUAAAUGAAGGAAAAAGAAAUAGCAGGUGUCCAGCAGCAUCAGUGUGUGGCUCCCCUAUAAUUCUUCUCUCUGUGCGUGUGCACACGCGCUGCACAUGAGGAUAAGUACGAGAUAAAAUGGAGGCGUCCGGGCCAGGACCUGGCGGAGUAGAUUGGCCGGAGUAGUUGGGCAUGGCCAUGGCAUCCGACCGCAGACGAUGACGAAUCCGCAACGUUGUAGCUUGCUGCCGUCGGGUGCGUGCAUUCUGUUGGUGUGUCGCGUGAGUGGUCAGUGUGUGCGUUGUGCUAGUAGUAUGUCCCAUGAGUGGUGAGUGUGUGCGAUGUGCUAGUAGUAUGUGCUGAUGUGCAGGGUGCAUGCAUGUAUGAGUGCACAUGCGUGUUGUCACACACGAACUCAAAAAUGUUUCAGAUUUUGUAGCCAACUCGUGUGCACCACAGCUGUUCGUGUUUAUGACCCAAAAGGAGAAUAUUACAUUUAUACUAAGCAAGAAAAAAAUACAGAGACAUUUUAUCA